Molecule: long non-coding RNA, 2389 nt
Filed under: Paramuricea clavata
Lineage: Eukaryota; Metazoa; Cnidaria; Anthozoa; Malacalcyonacea; Plexauridae
Source: RNAcentral
CUCUUCUGUGUCACGGGUGUUUCGCUCUGGGUGUUUCGAAAACAAAGACCUACGAAAAUGAGGACCGAAGACCUAAGAUGGGUCUUCGGCCUUCGUAAUUACGAAAACGAAGACCCAUCUUCGUUUUCGUAUUACGAAAACGAAGACCAUAAAAUAUUCAUUUAUAGCUACGUAAUUUUCCAGAGGUAAUUUUCGUGAAAAUAAGCGUAAAAAUGUCGCGAAAAAUUUCCGAUAAAUUGUGGAAAUCACUAGAAACGUAAACCACUCAUGUGACAAACAUCAGACUGGUAAGAAAUAGCUAAAUAAUUUAGCAAUAUUCCAUAUAUAUAUAUAUGCAUUUGCUGUACUAUUGUCAAUGUCUGCAUGGGCAAAUCAGUUUGAAUCAGUAAUACCAACAGUGUGACUAGAUUUUAAUUACUUUUGGUAACAUUUCACGAUUUUUCUGACUUUUUUGGUACGCUAUGCGCCUAUGUUCUUAGGAAGUGCCCUAACGAGAGGCAGCAACCCCCUGAAAACAUAUUGAAAUUUAAUCUUCCAUUUCGCGACACUUUUGCCGACUCUUCCACAGUCCCUAACACUGUUUCUAACGCAAAGGACCAUGAGAAUGCCCCAAGGCGUUUUGUUCCCAUCAAUCAGCGCGCGUUGGGUAAUUCAACGCGCGUUAGGUAAGCGACUGGGGACGAGUCAGACACUUUUAUGCUUAUUUUCGCGAAAACAAUGUAAAUGAAUAUUUUAGGGUCUUCGUAAAGAUGGGUCUUCGUUUUCGUAAUUACGAAGACCGAAGACCCAUCUUAGGUCUUCGGUCUUCGUUUUCGUAGGUCUUCGUUUUCGAAACACCCCUUACACCACGGUUAAUUAUUAACCGUGCUUACACGUGAUUGUCACUCAUCUGACAAUUAUUUACAGUCAUCUUCAGAAUGCCACGUUUUUUAAAAACCAACUACCUAUAUCUAUAAAACUCACUACAAAACGUGGUGGCAUUAAUAGUCGAAACAUAGAGAAUGACAAUGUAAACAACUUGCGUGUGUCAAUUGUGAGUGUCGAGUGUCAAUUGCUUCUGAUAGUUUGUGUUUAAUUCACUGUAAAAACUCUAUGGCAACCGUAAUUUUUAGACAGUGGCAUUGUGUAAAAGUAUUUAAUAAUUAGUAUAAAAACUUUCCAUCACUAAAACAAUCUCGUACUAUGCCACUAAAUCCUCUGAAAUACAAGCACAUGCAACUAAAUCGCUCAAAUAAGCCGCCUUCCACGUAAUAGCCUGCGUGGCAGACGGUCAGCCCACCGCGGGACACCUAAAAACGGGCGAGGCGAAUAACCAACAAGCUGUUUCAUUGUCGAAGUAUUCCGGAUUUUCGGAACACUAAUGGAAUGGAACAGAAGACAGUCACAUAUGACUGUUCUGAACUGUUCUGAUUACCCCGAUUUUCGAGUAUAUAUAACUUAUUCAUAAAAACGCACAAGUUGUUUAUACAAGUCUGCAAACAAGUUGUUACAAAGUUUGUUCACAAGCUGUUAGCUGUCAGCCUGUCGACACGUUGUGUUGGCACUACUUUUCCCAGUUGUUGGAACAAGCUGUUAACAACUUGUAACAAGCUUGAUGGAAUUAUCAGACUUGUUUCAAGGUUGUUCUAACAAAUCUGAUACAGUCACGAUAUACCAAAAGGCAUGUUGUAAAAGACGGACUGGACUAGGAAAACGCGGACUCCGUAUUUUCCAUAUUUUUCUCUGACGUCAGACUCCGUGUUUUCCAUAUUUUUCUCUGACGUCAGACUCCGUAUUUUCCAUAUUUUUUUCUGACGUCAGACUCCGUGUUUUCCAUAUUUUUCUCUGACGUCAGACUCCGUGUUUUCCAUAUUUUUCUCUGACGUCAGACUCCGUGUUUUCCAUAUUUUCUCUGACGUCAGACUCCGUGUUUUCCAUAUUUACGGCGGACUCCGUGUUUUCCAUAUGACUCCGUGUUUUCCAUAUUUUUCUUUCACGUCAGGCUCCGUGUUUUCCAUAUUUUAAGACUCCAGGACUCCGUCUUUUCCAUCUUACCUUUCUUGAUGUGUUGUUGUCUGCAGUCCCUCCUUUCCUUUCAAGGAGGGACUUCCUCGCAGUCUAAUAUACUAAUCACGCAAUAUUGAGCGUCUGCCACACAAGCUAUCCUCCGUAUUACUAAUGGCGUUACCAUGCACGUUUCAUGUUCCGCUUACCAGCCAAUCUCAUACAAAUACAAUACCAAACAAUCUCGUAUCCAAUUGGUACGAGAUUGGUCGGCAUAUACAGCAUCAACCUCGUACCCAGAGGCUAUACUUUCUCUCACACUCUGUUGCCACGGCCACUUGCUCUCCAAUUCGGAGUUUUGACUGCGCAUAUGCAUAUAUGAAAGUAUUCAAAUGAACGUUCAAUC